This 1908-nucleotide long non-coding RNA is filed under the name Homo sapiens (human). RNAcentral describes it as "HSALNT0153552". The record is from RNAcentral. Lineage: Eukaryota; Metazoa; Chordata; Mammalia; Primates; Hominidae.
CUUUUCUCUCCAGCUGCCUCGCAUGAUGGCAAAUGGCAUAUUUAAAUGGUAAAAGGCUUGAUCUCUAUCUCAAAACAUUUGACAUACUCACACUGAAGAUGGAAAAAACUGUUUUUGAUGGCUUCAGAGGAAAGACUGUGUACUAAGAAGAGGUCUGAUUAUAAAAGGAGAAUUGGAGGCUUACCAAACAUCUGAAGAGCUUUCCAGAAGUUUGGUCACUUCUGAAUUAGAGAAGUUAAAACCCAAUCACCUACUAAUGCUGUGGGAAAGUUCUGCAGGUGAUACAUCACAGGGGCUCAUGAAUGUGUCUUAAGCUGGGUCAUUGAAGUGGAAUGUUUUCACAAGACCUCCUCCACUUGCUACUGUGUCCGGAAUUGGUGGGUUCUUGGUCUCACUGACUUCAAGAAUGAAGCCGCGGACCCUCGCGGGAGUGGCAAAUCAAAGGCAUUGCAGCCUCUUUCAUCACUGCCGAUUGCUGAUGCCAACCAUGUGCCAAGUGCUUAAUACGUCACCUUAAAUCUUCUCAUCCACCCUCAGAGUAGCUGCAGCAUCAACCCAGUGCCCUGACUUUCAAGACGACUAUGAAAACACCCCAACUGCUGCUAAAUUACCAGCAACAAGGAUCUGACAUUCUUAUUCAAAAGAAAGAACACCGAAAUUGACCUUACCCUGACAAUAUGAUGGCUGAAGGAUUUAUGAUCACUUAUAACAUUUGAAAUUGAGGCGGAACCUGAAGAAUAAGACUCUGGUGAAAGGUCCUAUUUAUGCUUUUGAUGUCUUUCACUUGGACAUUUACCACAUGCCUAUUGGUAGGUUUGUUACAUAGGUCAGUUAAGGUGAUACAAGAAUAAAUAAAACACUAUCCCUAUCCUUUAAUAUCAUUUAUUUAUGGGGUCAAUCACAGAUUUUCAUUUUUCAAAAUCUUUGAUAAAUGUCAGAAUUAUGUUUUUUAAUAUUUUUACAGAAUUAUUACAAUAUAUGGUAGAGGAUGGAAGGCAAGGUAGUAUGAAACGGAAAAGAUAUUUUGAAUUAAGGUAUUUGGACCUGGAUUAAUAUUUUUGCUUUGGUCUUUAUUAGCUGAGUGACCUUGAGAAAGUUCUUCUACUAAAAAAGAACAAAGAUAAUAAUUACUUCAUGAAAUUGCUGUAAAAAACACAUAACAAGUAUAUCCAGACUCAACAGUGUAUGCUCAAAAAUGCAGAUCCUUUUUCCCUUACCUGCAAAUAAAGUCUUACAGUAAUACAGUGGGGGUAAAGGUUUAAACUGGUGGAUUCAAGAAGGGCUAUAGAAAGAGGUAGCAUCUUAAUAGGGGAAGGAGAGGAUCCAAGAAAUCAGAUCCAUUUUCUACAAAAAGAAAUGGGAAGACAGAUAAUUCAAGAAGAAAAGUUUACAUGAUUAAAGACCCGAAGUUAGAAAUAGUGAUGUGUCUCAAUAGUAAGUUAGGAAUUGGGGUGGACACAAUUGUUGGAAGAAGGAUGGUUUCAGCAAAGGCCCAAGUUAGGUGACAAUUUCAAGUGUUUGUGAAGAUAUAUGAACAAAAUUAUAAAGUAGUUAGGGUAUAAGAAAUAGGGAGGAGGGAAUGAAUUAACAUUUAUGGAGUGUCUUGCAUGUUCCAAGCACUGUACUACUUGCCUUAUAAACCUUUCUUCAAUAAACGCCUACAACAAUCCUGAGAUGUGGAAUUAUUAGUUCCUCAAUGGACCCAGAGAGUUUCAAUUAUGUGCUUAAGAACACAGAGUUAGUAAAGGACAGAGACAGAAUUCAAAUUAAGCCUAUGUUACUCCACAUCCUAUGCAUUCACUAAACCUCUCAAGAAAACCAAUUUAUUGGACCUUUUAAUCAUUUAAGAAUGAGAUGAUAGGGGGCGGUUCCAAGAUGGCCAAAUAGGAACAGCUCCAGUCUACAGCU